RNAcentral lists this ribosomal RNA (257 nucleotides) under Pseudo-nitzschia fraudulenta. RNAcentral describes it as "partial Bacterial small subunit ribosomal RNA". It matches the Rfam family "Bacterial small subunit ribosomal RNA", at positions 277 to 531 of the family's 1533-position model. Lineage: Eukaryota; Bacillariophyta; Bacillariophyceae; Bacillariales; Bacillariaceae. The record is from RNAcentral.
UGACGGGUAGCCGGCCUGAGAGGGUGACCGGCCACAUUGGGACUGAGAUACGGCCCAGACUCCUACGGGAGGCAGCAGUGAGGAAUCUUGCGCAAUGGGCGAAAGCCUGACGCAGCCACGCCGCGUGCCGGAAGACGGCCCUAUGGGUUGUAAACGGCUUUUGCCAGGGAAGAACGAGGGGGUUUCGACCUUCUGUGACGGUACCUGGUGAAUAAGCACCGGCUAACUCCGUGCCAGCAGCCGCGGUAAUACGGAGG